This 761-nucleotide ribosomal RNA is filed under the name Tricholoma sp. TH9141. Its description in RNAcentral is "eukaryotic LSU rRNA". The stretch from base 102 to 761 matches the Rfam family "Eukaryotic large subunit ribosomal RNA", at positions 1 to 615 of the family's 3401-position model. Lineage: Eukaryota; Fungi; Basidiomycota; Agaricomycetes; Agaricales; Tricholomataceae. The record is from RNAcentral.
AAAAAAAAAAGCCUAAAAUGUAUCGCCACCACCCUUUCUGAUGUGAACAGUUUGUAGUCUCUUUUUAUGAGCAGAUCGAGGUCUGCUUGCUGUUGUGUGUUUGACCUCAAAUCAGGCAGGACUACCCGCUGAACUUAAGCAUAUCAAUAAGCGGAGGAAAAGAAACUAACAAGGAUUCCCUUAGUAACUGCGAGUGAAGCGGGAAAAGCUCAAAUUUAAAAUCUGGCGGUCCUUGUGGCCGUCCGAGUUGUAAUCUAGAGAAGUGCUGUCCGCACUGGACCCAUGUACAAGUCUCCUGGAACGGAGCGUCGUAGAGGGUGAGAAUCCCGUCUUUGACAUGGACUUUGCCAGGGCUUCUGUGACGUGCUCUCAAAGAGUCGAGUUGUUUGGGAAUGCAGCUCUAAAUGGGUGGUAAAUUCCAUCUAAAGCUAAAUAUUGGCGAGAGACCGAUAGCGAACAAGUACCGUGAGGGAAAGAUGAAAAGGACUUUGGAAAGAGAGUUAAACAGUACGUGAAAUUGUUGAAAGGGAAACGCUUGAAGUCAGCCACGUUGGCCAGGAAAUCAACCUUGCAAUUUGCUUGGGGCAUUUUUCUGGUUCUUCAACGGGUCAGCAUCAGUUGCGAUCGGCGGAAAAAGUUCAGGGAAAUGUGGCAUCUUCGGGUGUGUUUUAUAGACCCUGUUCACAUACGUCGGUUGGAACUGAGGAAGUCAGCACGCCGCAAGGCCGGGACACAUUCUUUGUGAACCACGUUCGUGCUCA